Molecule: ribosomal RNA, 429 nt
Filed under: uncultured bacterium
Lineage: Bacteria
Description: bacterial SSU rRNA
Rfam family: Bacterial small subunit ribosomal RNA
Source: RNAcentral
UGGGGAAUAUUGGGCAAUGGGUGAAAGCCCGACCCAGCGACGCCGCGUGGGUGAUGAAGGCCUUCGGGUUGUAAAACCCUUUCGUGCGGAAAGAAUAGUCCUGUAGCGAAUAACUACGGGAUUUGACGGUACCGCAGGAAGAAGCACCGGCUAACUCCGUGCCAGCAGCCGCGGUAAUACGGAGGGUGCAAGCGUUGGUCGGAAUUAUUGGGCGUAAAGGGCGCGUAGGUGGUUGUGAUAGUCAGAUGUGAAAUCCUUCGGCUCAACCGAAGAACCUCAUCCUAAACCUCAUUGCUCGAGUACCGGAGAGGGGAACGGAAUCCCCGGUGUAGGGGUGAAAUUCGUAGAUAUCGGGAGGAACACCAGUUGCGAAGGCGGUUUCCUGGCCUGAUACUGACGCUGAGGCGCGAAAGCGUGGGGAGCAAACAG